CAGAGUACUAUACUCCUAAACCCCUGUCUACCUUACCUAUACGUUGCUUCGGCAGGCGGCCCCUCCCAGGGGCCGUUGGGUGCCUGCCGGAGGUAUUUUCCAAACUCUUGUUUUAUAAACCUAAAGCUUCUGAGUUAUACUUUUAAAUAAGUCA
RNAcentral lists this unclassified non-coding RNA (154 nucleotides) under uncultured fungus. RNAcentral describes it as "sequence contains ITS1, 5.8S rRNA gene". Lineage: Eukaryota; Fungi. The record is from RNAcentral.